AAUUACAACAUGAAAAACAAACGAAAUAGAGCAAAAUUAAAUUGUAUUUUUGAAAUUUUCUAAGACGAUGUUAACAUUUUCUGUUUUUCGGACUUGUAUAAUGAAAUUUCUUGUCAUGAUUAGAUAAUGUUUUAAAAAUAUAUUUCAAAAACUAAGCGUAACUUGUACGUUAGAGAAAAAAGUAUUAUAAAAGAGGUGUUAUGGUUGUGAUUUGGUUCAUUGCAACAUUAAUAAAAUCGGUGGUUACGAUAAGGAAGAUGGCAUAUCCACGCGGGAAUCUUCCUGACAUACCUAUCCCGAAGUCUGGCAUCCCUAGCUCUCGUCCUAGGCCGCCACCAAGAGACACACCUGUGCAAAUUCAGAAUGAGCCUUCCAUCCGUAUCCCGGUGCCUGGAACCGCUCGCCCUCGUCCUAGGCCGCCACCAACACACUAGGUGCCCUAGGCUUACCCUACCACUAUUUUCUCAUCUUCAUACAAAUAAACAUCUUCACUUCUUUCUCUUCCAUAAGAAGAUUGUCUCAACAAUUUUUGUAAUCUCUUUUGUUUGUUUUAUUGUUUGAUGAUUUGUAAGAUUUAAAUUAUUUUUAUUUAUGAGAAGCUUUUUAUCAAGAGAAUGCUUGCUUCCAUACCAAAACUAACCAACUAAUUACCAAAUUUCAAUUUCAUAUCAUCCUGUAGAAAUAUAAUUAAAGUGAUAAUCAAUUUAUAAAUUACUAAUUUUUGGUUAAUCUCAAUGUGCUUAUAGGUUUAAUAGCUGAUUAAAUCAGUAAGUUAUAUUACCCUCUUCAUGGUACACACAUACUUGUUUCUUCCUUCAUAAAAGUGAGAAGGGUUGGUUGAUUACUUUCUAAGGCUAAGGUUUUGUAUGUAACAGAAAAGGUGGUUGUUUUGUUCUAGCUUUUAAAUUUUUCACAUACAAAAACUUCCCUUGAUCACUUCCAUGCCAUUCAUGCUUAAUGGAUUGUCAAAAAUUGAACACAAAACCAAUGACUAAUUCACUUGGGUGCUUUAUUCAUUUUUCCAAUUUAUGUUGCUCAGUCUCCUCUUAUGAACCAACCUCAGUGUUGGUGUUGUUGCUUAGGUCCUCCUAUUUUGGUUGUUAUUGGAAGGGACUGUCCCCAAGCCACCGUUUUUUAACACCUCCUCCUUGAUAGUCUCAUCGUGAAUUUCUCAGGGGUCAUACAUUAUAGUGGUUAGUGCUGUUGUUGUUCUUACUAGCUUGUUGCACAUAUGAUACUCGUACCUUUAAAGACUGCAGAGCUUCCUCUUGCUAAGAUUAGUGGGAAUUUUCACUUCUUACAUCAUGCACAAUCCAGUUAUCAAGCUUCAAAAGGAUAAGGACUUUGCAGUACCCCUUGAAGUUGCUUUGAGGUGGCUAUCUUGAAGAUUUGUUAGUGAUCAGGUCUGCCACAUACAUCAAAUAGUCAUGCAUGAUGUAAUAAAUCAGUUGUGCCUUGUCCAUGGUCAAGUAGUAGACAUGAGAGUUUGGGGUCCUGACAAUACAAAUGUGACCCAAAUUUGUCAAUUCCAUCAAAUAGCCAUUUUUUUCUUACAUAGCACAAAUUCCUUUUACAUUUACUAAGAUAGCAUACUCCGUGUUUUAUUUACCCGA
Molecule: long non-coding RNA, 1613 nt
Filed under: Vigna radiata
Lineage: Eukaryota; Viridiplantae; Streptophyta; Magnoliopsida; Fabales; Fabaceae
Description: long non-coding RNA (VRAD_LNC007950)
Source: RNAcentral